GCUGGCGGCGUGCCUAACACAUGCAAGUCGAGCGGUAACAGGCGUAGCAAUACGUGCUGACGAGCGGCGGACGGGUGAGUAACGCUUGAGAAUCUACCCAGUAGUGGGGAAUAACCAGUCGAAAGAUUGGCUAAUACCGCAUACGUCUUUUUUCCACAUCGGAGAAAAGGGAAAGCGGGGGACCGCAAGGCCUCGCGCUGUUGGAUGAGCUCAAGUCGGAUUAGCUAGUUGGCGGGGUAACGGCCCACCAAGGCGACGAUCCGUAGCUGGUCUGAGAGGACGACCAGCCACACUGGGACUGCGACACGGCCCAGACUCCUACGGGAGGCAGCAGUGGGGAAUAUUGGACAAUGGGGGAAACCCUGAUCCAGCGACGCCGCGUGUGUGAAGAAGGCCUGCGGGUUGUAAAGCACUCUUAGUGGGGAUGAAAAGCUUCGGGAUAACACCCCGGGGUCUUGACCUAACCCAAAGAAAAAGCACCGGCUAACUCUGUGCCAGCAGCCGCGGUAAUACAGAGGGUGCGAGCGUUAAUCGGAAUUACUGGGCGUAAAGCGCGCGUAGGCGGUCUUGUAAGUCGGGUGUGAAAGCCCCGGGCUCAACCCGGGAACUGCAUUCGAGACUGCGGGACUGGAGUAUGGG
Molecule: ribosomal RNA, 639 nt
Filed under: uncultured soil bacterium
Lineage: Bacteria
Description: bacterial SSU rRNA
Rfam family: Bacterial small subunit ribosomal RNA
Source: RNAcentral